Oncorhynchus gorbuscha (pink salmon) is the source of this 415-nucleotide long non-coding RNA. RefSeq lists it as uncharacterized. The transcript is spliced from 3 exons. The record is from RefSeq and is a predicted model, not a curated record. Lineage: Eukaryota; Metazoa; Chordata; Actinopteri; Salmoniformes; Salmonidae.
GCUAGCCCAGUUGUUGAGUGAGGCCAUCUGCUGUGGUGACAAAGAGGAAGCCAAGAGGUGUUUGGAGCAGCUGGCAGAGUUGUGUGUACCAAUGUCUGUCAGGAUCUCCCACAAGGCUUACUCCCAGGACUCUAUUCGUGCAGAGUAAUUCAAACCCAGUUACCUUUUAUGGUUGCUUUGCUGCAGUUUGAAGUUGGGAGUCAGGGAUGCACAUUCAGAUAACUAUGUUCCUGUUGCCUUGUUGGUAACACUCGACAUGACCAUUUCAGAUCUGAAAGAGAAGAGCUGGGUGAUCGGGAAGCGUCUGGCUGAGGACUAAGACUCAGCCAUUGGUUGAGGAAUAAUGAAGACCAUGCCUACUUGUACAUCAAGUCUGCCCAUGCUGUCAACCUCAGCUGGGAUCAACUGAACCAGG